RNAcentral lists this long non-coding RNA (1389 nucleotides) under Vulpes vulpes (red fox). RNAcentral's name for it is "lncRNA (ENSVVUG00000024334.1)". Lineage: Eukaryota; Metazoa; Chordata; Mammalia; Carnivora; Canidae. The record is from RNAcentral.
GGAGAAUCAGGCGGGAGACCUGGGGCAGGGCUGCUCAUUCACUUCAUGCCCUGUACCCCCCCGACAGGUUAGGACUUCCCUCCAAGGAGAGAGUGUGUUUGGAGGCACAUCCCCGGGUAGUCCCCCUGCCCAUUCCCAGGGAGGCCCAGCCUGUCCGUAGCACUCGGCUUCUGCAUCCCUCAGCCAGGGAGCACCAGCAGCAAUGCCCCCGAGGGGACUGGAGGACAGAUCGCCAUACCUCUCUAAGUGUGUUGUCAAGCAGGAAUAAUAUCUUCGUGAAUCCAGCUUCUGUCCGAAGUGGAGGGAAACUGACAUUUCUAGAGCACCUACUGUGUGCUGGACCCCAUCUCCUCUGCCACCACACAGCUGUUGGAGACCACUCGGCAGGUGUCUGCGUGCACCACCAGAGGUGAAGCAGGGGGCAGGGGCUCGGGAAGGAAGCUUCACACCUGUGAGGAGGCUCAGCCUGUGGGUGACCCAGCCCCAACCCUGGUCAAGUUCAAAGGCUGGGGGAGAAGACUGCGGCCAGAUGGGACACUUAAACAACAGAGUACAGGUGAAGAUGUCAUCAAAGGCUGAGAUGACAGCUCUGCAGCUGCAUCGAAGUGAGCAAAAGCUGGGCAGAAGAUAGCUCCAGAACGAGGCAAGGGAAGAGCAGCUCCCGGGGAAGCUCCUGGAUCCAGAGGAACCCCAGGGCACGUGUAUGGAGGGCUGGGGGCAGAGCAAAGUGUGUCAGCUGAGGGCCUCCAAACUUGGGAUCCAGGGGGUGGCCUUGGGCAAGCCCCUUGCCUUCUGAGAGCCUCAGUUUCCACCUAUGGCCCUUUGGUUAGCAGAAGUGUCCAGCAAGACAAUGUGUGUGUUAACCCCACUGGUGGUAGUGGUGGUGGGAGAGGUCCCCUGCUUGCCUUCUUACUGUUGUUGUUGUUGGUAGGUGACCUCAGGACGCCCAUGGGUCCAUGUCCCAGCAGGGUUCCAGGUGAGGGCUAGAGGUGUGAUCUGCCCAGAUAAGGGGCCCCCUGGCUCCUUAACAGGAUGGUAGGGGUGCCCCAAGUGAUUACAAGGGCCAUCAUAACAGUCAGGAGAGCUAGGAAAAUACUAAUUGGGGCUGCUCCUUCCUGUUGCCAGAAAUCCCAGAUGGCAAAGUGCAAGGGGCAUCGGUGAAGACCAGUUGCCCUUGUGCCUGCAUCCUCGAGGACUCCAUGAGGACACUCACUGGGAAAGCUGGGCAUGGGACUGGUCUCAGCUAACGGUGCUCCCAGCCUUCCACUAGGAUGGGCCUGCAGGGAGGGCGUCACCUGUGCAUUGGAAGGGGCUGGGCUGGGCUGGCCUACACUGGGAAGCGCUCUGUCUCUGUGACUUAGGAGAUCUCUGGCCCUAUCUGGAUGUUCG